UCAUAUCAAUAAGCGGAGGAAAAGAAACUAACAAGGAUUCCCCUAGUAACUGCGAGUGAAGCGGGAAAAGCUCAAAUUUAAAAUCUGGCGGUCUUUGGCCGUCCGAGUUGUAGUCUGGAGAAGUGCUUUCCGCGCUGGACCGUGUAUAAGUCUCUUGGAACAGAGCGUCAUAGAGGGUGAGAAUCCCGUCUUUGACACGGACUACCAGUGCUUUGUGAUGCGCUCUCAAAGAGUCGAGUUGUUUGGGAAUGCAGCUCAAAAUGGGUGGUGAAUUCCAUCUAAAGCUAAAUAUUGGCGAGAGACCGAUAGCGAACAAGUACCGUGAGGGAAAGAUGAAAAGCACUUUGGAAAGAGAGUUAAACAGUACGUGAAAUUGCUGAAAGGGAAACGCUUGAAGUCAGUCGCGUUGUCCGGAACUCAGCCUUGCUUUCGCUUGGUGCACUUUCCGGAUGACGGGUCAGCAUCGAUUUUGACCGUCGGAAAAGGGCUGGAGUAAUGUGGCACCUCCGGGUGUGUUAUAGACUCUGGUCGCAUACGGCGGUUGGGAUCGAGGAACGCAGCGCGCCGCAAGGCAGGGGUUCGCCCACUUUCGCGCUUAGGAUGCUGGCAUAAUGGCUUUAAACGACCCGUCUUGAAACACGGACCAAGGAGUCUAACAUACCUGCGAGUGUUUGGGUGGAAAACCCGAGCGCGUAAUGAAAGUGAAAGUUGAGAUCCCUGUCGUGGGGAGCAUCGACGCCCGGACCUGACGUUCUCUGACGGAUCCGCGGUAGAGCAUGUAUGUUGGGACCCGAAAGAUGGUGAACUAUGCCUGAAUAGGGUGAAGCCAGAGGAAACUCUGGUGGAGGCUCGUAGCGAUUCUGACGUGCAAAUCGAUCGUCAAAUUUGGGUAUAGGGGCGAAAGACUAAUCGAACCAUCUAGUAGCUGGUUCCUGCCGAU
This 940-nucleotide ribosomal RNA is filed under the name Ganoderma resinaceum. RNAcentral's name for it is "LSU rRNA". It matches the Rfam family "Eukaryotic large subunit ribosomal RNA", at positions 38 to 965 of the family's 3401-position model. Lineage: Eukaryota; Fungi; Basidiomycota; Agaricomycetes; Polyporales; Polyporaceae. The record is from RNAcentral.